This 409-nucleotide ribosomal RNA is filed under the name Leccinum sp. RNAcentral's name for it is "partial contains 5.8S ribosomal RNA, internal transcribed spacer 2, and large subunit ribosomal RNA". The stretch from base 1 to 52 matches the Rfam family "5.8S ribosomal RNA", at positions 103 to 154 of the family's 154-position model. The record is from RNAcentral. Lineage: Eukaryota; Fungi; Basidiomycota; Agaricomycetes; Boletales; Boletaceae. RNAcentral also lists the same sequence under 1 other name.
AACGCACCUUGCGCCCCUUGGUAUUCCGAGGGGCAUGCCUGUUUGAGUGUCAUUUUAUCAUCAACUCGAUAGUCUUUGAUUAGGCUGUUGGGCUUGGACUUGGGAAUUGCCGGCUUGAUCUUUAUUCCAUUGAACAGUAUCUAAUACUUAAUAGAGGGGUAGAGUGUAGUCGGCUGUCCUUAAAUGCAUUAGCGAGUGUUAGUCUACAUGGCACGGCCUCUUGACGUGAUAAUGAUCGUCGUGGGCUGGAAGUGUAGUGUCUGGCUUCUAAUCAUUGAUUGCGUGCAUACGGCCCAUAAAGCUGGAAGCGCAACAAACAUUGACUACGUGCAUACGGCCCUUGAAGCUGGAAGCGUAGUCGAAAUUGACAUUUGACCUCAAAUCAGGUAGGACUACCCGCUGAACUUAA